This 253-nucleotide ribosomal RNA is filed under the name uncultured bacterium. Its description in RNAcentral is "partial 16S ribosomal RNA". It matches the Rfam family "Bacterial small subunit ribosomal RNA", at positions 524 to 776 of the family's 1533-position model. The record is from RNAcentral.
GACAGAGGGUGCGAACGUUGUUCGGAAUUACUGGGCGUAAAGCGUGUGUAGGCGGCUAUGUAAGUCGGAUGUGAAAGCCCCGGGCUCAACUCGGGAAGUGCACUCGAUACUGCGUAGCUUGAGUACCGGAGAGGUUGGUGGAAUUCUCGGUGUAGAGGUGAAAUUCGUAGAUAUCGAGAGGAACACCGGUGGCGAAGGCGGCCAACUGGACGAGUACUGACGCUGAGACACGAAAGCGUGGGGAGCAAACAGG